This 400-nucleotide ribosomal RNA is filed under the name uncultured bacterium. RNAcentral describes it as "bacterial SSU rRNA". It matches the Rfam family "Bacterial small subunit ribosomal RNA", at positions 28 to 412 of the family's 1533-position model. The record is from RNAcentral.
GAUGAACGCUGGCGGCGUGCCUCAUGCAUGCAAGUCGAACGGGGGAAACUUUGAGUAGCAAUACUUAGGGUUUUCUAGUGGCGAUCGGGUGAGUAACACGUAGGUGACCUGCCCCGAAGAGGGGGAUAACGACCCGAAAGGGUUGCUAAUACCCCAUGUGAUUGGUAAUUCAUUUUGUCCAAUUAAAGCUUCCGCAAGGAGUGUGCUUUGGGAGGGGCCUGCGGCGGAUUAGAUUGUUGGUGGGGUAANGGCCUACCAAGUCGACGAUCCGUAGCUAGUCUGAGAGGACGAUUAGCCACACUGGCACUGACACACGGGCCAGACUCCUACGGGAGGCAGCAGCAGGGAAUAUUGCACAAUGGGCGAAAGCCUGAUGCAGCAACGCCGCGUGAGGGAUGAA